GUUCAAGGAAAUUCUGACUUCUCCUACUAAGGAGCAGACUAUACAGCUGAUGACUAAAUGAUUGCUUAUUAGCCUCUUUCCUGCUUUAAAUGAAGACAUUCGUUUGGAGGUCUCUGGAAUUUGCAUGGUGUGAGUCAUUUAUCUUUAGGUCUUAUCCUUUUGCAGUGGACUGAUUAAGGCUGCCAUCCACCUGCACAAUUGAGAAAACUGCUGAUCAACUCAGAGAGAUCUCUCAAAGGCUGAGAUGUUCCUGUUUUGUUGGAAUGUGGAGACUGGAGAUUCUCUAAGAGGCAAGCUCACAGAGGUUACAGCCGUAGAGCACUUACUGCCUGCUAUCUUCCAGGGCUGGUUUCUGCUCAUAUCUGUCAUCUAUAUCCUUAAGCUGAUCCUUUACAGAAAGGAAUUUAGCAUCAGGGAGACUACCCUUCCCAGAUCCCGUGCCAUUAAGUGGGGCCAUUGACUAGUCCUUAUUCCUGAAAUGUGAGCUGAAAAGCCUCUGUGUGAUUUUCGAUUUCUACUAUUCUUGGAAAGGAGUUCUGAAACGACAUUCUGAUUGUGAGUUUCCAUCAGCUGGAGAGAUGUUGUGGAGUCGAGCAAAGUGUUCUUGCAUUGAACAUUCAGAAUUAAAAAGAAGUAAGUCUUUUUGUAUUA
Molecule: long non-coding RNA, 651 nt
Organism: Mirounga angustirostris (Northern elephant seal)
Lineage: Eukaryota; Metazoa; Chordata; Mammalia; Carnivora; Phocidae
Exons: 3
Source: RefSeq, a predicted model, not a curated record